Molecule: long non-coding RNA, 905 nt
Organism: Lates calcarifer (barramundi perch)
Lineage: Eukaryota; Metazoa; Chordata; Actinopteri; Centropomidae
Exons: 6
Source: RefSeq, a predicted model, not a curated record
UUAGGGUUACGGCUUUUAGCUAGAGGUUAGGGUUAGGGUUAGGGUUACAGCUUUUAGCCACUUGUAGCCAGAGGUUAGGGUUAGGGUUACAGCUUUUAGCUAGAGGUUAGGGUUAGGGUUAGGGUUACAGCUUUUAGCUAGAGGUUAGGGUUAGGGUUACGGCUUUUAGCUAGAGGUUAGGGUUAGGGUUAGGGUUACAGCUUUUAGCUAGAGGUUAGGGUUAGGGUUACGGCUUUUAGCUAGAGGUUAGGGUUAGGGUUAGGGUUACAGCUUUUAGCCACUUGUAGCCAGAGGUUAGGGUUAGGGUUACAGCUUUUAGCUAGAGGUUAGGGUUAGGGUUACAGCUUUUAGCUAGAGGUUAGGGUUAGGGUUACAGCUUUUAGCUAGAGGUUAGGGUUAGGGUUACAGCUUUUAGCCACUUGUAGCUAGAGGUUAGGGUUAGGGUUACGGCUUUUAGCUAGAGGUUAGGGUUAGGGUUACAGCUUUUAGCCACUUGUAGCCAGAGGUUAGGGUUAGGGUUACAGCUUUUAGCUAGAGGUUAGGGUUAGGGUUAGGGUUACAGCUUUUAGCCACUUGUAGCUAGAGGUUAGGGUUAGGGUUACGGCUUUUAGCUAGAGGUUAGGGUUAGGGUUACAGCUUUUAGCUAGAGGUUAGGGUUAGGGUUAGGGUUACAGCUUUUAGCCACUUGUAGCCAGAGGUUAGGGUUAGGGUUACAGCUUUUAGCUAGAGGUUAGGGUUAGGGUUACAGCUUUUAGCUAGAGGUUAGGGUUAUGGCUUUUAGCCAGAAAUCACUUGUAGCUAGAGCUUAGCUAAAGUUUUUAGUCUCAAUUAUACAUUAUAAUUGCAAGCUGAGUGACAUUAAUUUGAAAAUAAAGAAACUCAACUCAAAAGUUAAGCUGCAAAAC